CACGUACUCCCUCCGUCCGGAAAUACUUGUCGGAGGAAUGCAUAAAAAUGGAUGUAUCUAGAACUAAUAUACAUCUAAAUACAUUCAUUUCUCCGACAAGUAUUUCCGAACGGAAGGAGUACAUU
Molecule: non-coding RNA, 125 nt
Organism: Triticum urartu
Lineage: Eukaryota; Viridiplantae; Streptophyta; Magnoliopsida; Poales; Poaceae
Source: Rfam